GACGAACGCUGGCGGCGUGCCUAACACAUGCAAGUCGAGCGGAGACGGAUGGUAGCUUGCUACUGGCCGUUUUUAGCGGCGGACGGGUGAGUAACGCGUGAGCAACCUCUCCUUUACUGGGGAAUAACACACCGAAAGGUGUACUAAUACCGCAUGAGACCACAGAGGGGCAUCCCUUAGGGGUCAAAGAUUAAUCGGUAAAGGGUGGGCUCGCGUCUGAUUAGAUAGUUGGUGGGGUAACGCCUACCAAGUCGACGAUCAGUAGCCGACCUGAGAGGGUGAUCGGCCACAUUGGGACUGAGACACGGCCCAAACUCCUACGGGAGGCAGCAGUGGGGAAUAUUGGGCAAUGGGCGAAAGCCUGACCCAGCAACGCCGCGUGGA
This 384-nucleotide ribosomal RNA is filed under the name uncultured bacterium. RNAcentral's name for it is "bacterial SSU rRNA". It matches the Rfam family "Bacterial small subunit ribosomal RNA", at positions 28 to 405 of the family's 1533-position model. The record is from RNAcentral.